This 532-nucleotide ribosomal RNA is filed under the name Graphocephala flavovittata. Its description in RNAcentral is "eukaryotic LSU rRNA". The record is from RNAcentral. Lineage: Eukaryota; Metazoa; Arthropoda; Insecta; Hemiptera; Cicadellidae.
AGAACUUUGAAGAGAGAGUUCAAGAGUACGUGAAACCGUUCAGGGGUAAACGGAAAAGACUUUAAACACCGAAAGGGGAGAUUCACGCCCUCGCGCACGAGCCGGCUCCCCCGUGGUCAGAUGGUACCGUCCGCCCGCACGGCGCAAGUCGUUGCGGGGUCGUUUCGGUGAUCACUCGGCCUCGGGGGGGUUAUGCCGGCCGCGGAGGGCCGCACUUCUCCUUCAGUAGGACGUCGCGACCCGUUGGACGGUGGUCGACGGCCCCGGCGGUAGCCCGGGACGCGGGAAAGCUCUGCCUACCGCGCUCCCGGACCCCGGGUCGCCCGACCGAUCGUCCGACGGUAUGAAAUGCAGGUGUCGGACCGCCACCGUUAAUCGGGCGUCUGGAUCGGCCGCAAGCUUGAGCACGCCGGGAUGACGGUACUUGUGCCCGGCUCUUUGGCGUGCCAAACUGUUGGCGGCCGAGUCCUCGGACGGGUCUUGUAACACCGGUCAGCGAUGUCUGUUUAAGGUACUUAUCCGACCCGUCUUG